RNAcentral lists this ribosomal RNA (1479 nucleotides) under uncultured organism. Its description in RNAcentral is "bacterial SSU rRNA". It matches the Rfam family "Bacterial small subunit ribosomal RNA". The record is from RNAcentral.
AGAGUUUGAUCCUGGCUCAGGAUGAACGCUGGCGGCGUGCCUAACACAUGCAAGUCGAGCGAGAAGCUACCUAUGAACCUUCGGGUGAUUAGGCUAGUGGACAGCGGCGGACGGGUGAGUAACGCGUAAAUAACCUGCCAUACACACAAGGAUAGCCAUCGGAAACGGUGAUUAAUACUUGAUGAAGCUAAAAAAUCACAUGGUUUUUUAGUUAAAGAUCUAUCGGUGUAUGAUGGAUUUGCGUUUGAUUAGCUAGUUGGUAAGGUAACGGCUUACCAAGGCAAUGAUCAAUAGCCGGCCUGAGAGGGUGAUCGGCCACACUGGAACUGAGACACGGUCCAGACUCCUACGGGAGGCAGCAGUGGGGAAUCUUGCACAAUGGAGGCAACUCUGAUGCAGCAACGCCGCGUGAAUGAAGAAGGCUUUCGAGUCGUAAAAUUCUGUUCUAAGGGAAGAAGAAGUGACGGUACCUUAGGAGUAAGCCCCGGCUAAUUACGUGCCAGCAGCCGCGGUAACACGUAAGGGGCGAGCGUUAUCCGGAAUUACUGGGCAUAAAGGGUGCGUAGGCGGUAUAUCAAGCCAAUAGUGAAAAGCAUGGGCCUAACCGAUGUAAGCUAAUGGAACUGAUAUACUUGAGUACAGGAGAGGAAAGUGGAAUUUCUAGUGUAGCGGUGAAAUGCGUAGAUAUUAGAAAGAACAUCAGUGGCGAAGGCGACUUUCUGGGACUGUACUGACGCUGAGGCACGAAAGCGUGGGGAGCGAACAGGAUUAGAUACCCUGGUAGUCCACGCCGUAAACGAUGGGUACUAGGUGUCAGACAUAGUAGUUUGGUGCCGGAGCAAAUGUAUUAAGUACCCCGCCUGGGGAGUACGGUCGCAAGGCUGAAACUCAAAAGAAUUGACGGGGACCCGCACAAGCAGCGGAGCAUGUGGUUUAAUUCGAAGCAACGCGAAGAACCUUACCAGGUUUUGACAUACCAAUGUUAUCUGAGUAAUAUCGGAGUUCCCUUUGGGACAUUGGAUACAGGUGGUGCAUGGUUGUCGUCAGCUCGUGUCGUGAGAUGUUGGGUUAAGUCCCGUAACGAGCGCAACCCUUGUCUUUAGUUGCUAACAGGUCAAGCUGAGGACUCUAAAGAGACUGCCGAUGAAGAAAUCGGAGGAAGGUGGGGAUGACGUCAAAUCAUCAUGCCCCUUAUAAUCUGGGCUACACACGUGCUACAAUGGUCGGUACAACGGGUAUGCGAAGCCGCGAGGUGGAGCUAAUCCUCAUCAAGCCGGUCUUAGUUCGGAUUGCAGAUUGAAAUUCAUCUGUAUGAAGUAGGAGUUGCUAGUAAUCGUGGAUCAGAAUGCCACGGUGAAUACGUUCCCGGGUCUUGUACACACCGCCCGUCACACCAUGGGAGUUGGAAGCACCCGAAGUCAGCUUUAAAGCUGCCGAAGGUGAAACCGAUAACUGGGGUGAAGUCGUAACAAGGUAACC